RNAcentral lists this transfer-messenger RNA (357 nucleotides) under Pseudomonadales. Its description in RNAcentral is "Oceanobacter sp913061185 Standard tmRNA". It matches the Rfam family "transfer-messenger RNA". Rfam says of the family: Bacterial tmRNA, also known as 10Sa RNA or SsrA, is named for its dual tRNA and mRNA-like properties. Its role is to liberate the mRNA from a stalled ribosome. The record is from RNAcentral. RNAcentral also lists the same sequence under 1 other name. Lineage: Bacteria; Pseudomonadati; Pseudomonadota; Gammaproteobacteria.
GGGGAUGAUCUGGAUUCGACGUUGAUUACAAAGCUAGUGGUGCAUGCCGAGAGGGUAAGACGAUCUCGUAAAUCAACGUUUUACAUUUAUAUAGUCGCAAACGACGAAAACUACGCACUAGCUGCUUAAUUGCAGCUUACCUCUGAACCCCGGUGCCUAUAACAGGGGGACGAGGGCUAAGCCCUAUAGGAUCGCUUGGAUGCUUCGCUCGGAGUUGAAGAGCUAAACCGAAUCGAGCUCGUUCUGAACGCCCUGCCCCUCGGGCCGUGACGAACUAAAUUAAUAGAGACGGCUAAGCAUGUAGAUCUCCUAGUGGAGGAUUGGCGGACGCGGGUUCAAAUCCCGCCAUCUCCACCA